UGCACAUUCCAGAUUGAGAAUCAACUUCUUGCUUACCAAACAAACUUGUUUAGUCAAAGGCAACUUACUAGUAUCCCAUUUCAUUGACACUGAGAUGCAGAAUCGUGCUUGCAGCAGGGAUCUGAUGCCAUAUGGAGGUACGCUUCCUUACUGUCAGGAUAUGGACCUGUGGUGUUGUACAAAACUCCCUUUUCCUUAUUAAAGGUAUACAAAAGUCUAAAAA
Molecule: long non-coding RNA, 223 nt
Organism: Bubalus bubalis (water buffalo)
Lineage: Eukaryota; Metazoa; Chordata; Mammalia; Artiodactyla; Bovidae
Exons: 2
Source: RefSeq, a predicted model, not a curated record